Molecule: ribosomal RNA, 396 nt
Filed under: uncultured bacterium
Lineage: Bacteria
Description: partial 16S ribosomal RNA
Rfam family: Bacterial small subunit ribosomal RNA
Source: RNAcentral
AUACAGAGGGUGCAAGCGUUAAUCGGAUUUACUGGGCGUAAAGCGCGCGUAGGUGGCUAAUUAAGUCAAAUGUGAAAUCCCCGAGCUUAACUUGGGAAUUGCAUUCGAUACUGGUUAGCUAGAGUAUGGGAGAGGAUGGUAGAAUUCCAGGUGUAGCGGUGAAAUGCGUAGAGAUCUGGAGGAAUACCGAUGGCGAAGGCAGCCAUCUGGCCUAAUACUGACACUGAGGUGCGAAAGCAUGGGGAGCAAACAGGAGUAGAUACCCUGGUAGUCCAUGCCGUAAACGAUGUCUACUAGCCGUUGGGGCCCUUGAGGCUUUAGUGGCGCAGCUAACGCGAUAAGUAGACCGCCUGGGGAGUACGGUCGCAAGACUAAAACUCAAAUGAAUUGACGGGG